ACGGGUGAGUAACGCGUGGGAACGUACCUUUUGGUUCGGAACAACACAGGGAAACUUGUGCUAAUACCGGAUAAGCCCUUACGGGGAAAGAUUUAUCGCCGAAAGAUCGGCCCGCGUCUGAUUAGCUAGUUGGUGAGGUAAUGGCUCACCAAGGCGACGAUCAGUAGCUGGUCUGAGAGGAUGAUCAGCCACAUUGGGACUGAGACACGGCCCAAACUCCUACGGGAGGCAGCAGUGGGGAAUAUUGGACAAUGGGCGCAAGCCUGAUCCAGCCAUGCCGCGUGAGUGAUGAAGGCCCUAGGGUUGUAAAGCUCUUUUGUGCGGGAAGAUAAUGACGGUACCGCAAGAAUAAGCCCCGGCUAACUUCGUGCCAGCAGCCGCGG
Molecule: ribosomal RNA, 383 nt
Filed under: uncultured bacterium
Lineage: Bacteria
Description: bacterial SSU rRNA
Rfam family: Bacterial small subunit ribosomal RNA
Source: RNAcentral